Molecule: ribosomal RNA, 497 nt
Filed under: uncultured bacterium
Lineage: Bacteria
Description: partial 16S ribosomal RNA
Rfam family: Bacterial small subunit ribosomal RNA
Source: RNAcentral
GAUGAACGCUGGCGGCGUGCCUAAUACAUGCAAGUCGAGCGAACAGACGAGGAGCUUGCUCCUCUGACGUUAGCGGCGGACGGGUGAGUAACACGUGGAUAACCUACCUAUAAGACUGGGAUAAAUUCGGGAAACCGGAGCUAAUACCGGAUAAUAUAUUGAACCGCAUGGUUCAAUAGUGAAAGACGGUUUUGCUGUCACUUAUAGAUGGAUCCGCGCCGCAUUAGCUAGUUGGUAAGGUAACGGCUUACCAAGGCAACGACGCGUAGCCGACCUGAGAGGGUGAUCGGCCACACUGGAACUGAGACACGGUCCAGACUCCUACGGGAGGCAGCAGUAGGGAAUCUUCCGCAAUGGGCGAAAGCCUGACGGAGCAACGCCGCGUGAGUGAUGAAGGUCUUCGGAUCGUAAAACUCUGUUAUUAGGGAAGAACAAAUGUGUAAGUAACUAUGCACGUCUUGACGGUACCUAAUCAGAAAGCCACGGCUAACUACGUG